GACGAGGUGGCUGAGUGGUUAAGGCGAUAGACUGCUAAUCCAUUGAACUCUGCCCGCGUGGGUUAGAAUCCCAUCCUCGUCG
This 82-nucleotide transfer RNA is filed under the name Trichonephila inaurata madagascariensis. It matches the Rfam family "tRNA". From Rfam's summary of the family: Transfer RNA (tRNA) molecules are approximately 80 nucleotides in length. Their secondary structure includes four short double-helical elements and three loops (D, anti-codon, and T loops). Further hydrogen bonds mediate the characteristic L-shaped molecular structure. tRNAs have two regions of fundamental functional importance: the anti-codon, which is responsible for specific mRNA codon recognition, and the 3' end, to which the tRNAs corresponding amino acid is attached (by aminoacyl-tRNA synthetases). tRNAs cope with the degeneracy of the genetic code in two manners: having more than one tRNA (with a specific anti-codon) for a particular amino acid; and 'wobble' base-pairing, i.e. permitting non-standard base-pairing at the 3rd anti-codon position. The record is from Rfam by way of RNAcentral. Lineage: Eukaryota; Metazoa; Arthropoda; Arachnida; Araneae; Nephilidae.